AUUGAACGCUGGCGGCAGGCUUAACACAUGCAAGUCGAACGAGUGGCGGACGGGUGAGUAAUGCUUGGGCAUCUAGCUUAUGUAGGGGGAUAACUACGGGAACCUUUAGCUACUACUGCGUACCAUAGGAUGAGCCCAAGGGGGAUUAGGUAGUUGGUGAGGUAAAGGCUCACCAAGCCGACGAUCGCUAGCUGGUCUGAGAGGAUGACCGGCCACACUGGGACUGAGACACGGCCCAGACUCCUACGGGAGGCAGCAGUGGGGAAUAUUGCGCAAUGGGGGAAAGCUGACGCAGCCAGGCCGCGUGAAUGAAGAAGGCCUUCGGGUUGUAAAGUUCUUUCGGUAGCGAGGCGUUAACUACAGAAGAAGCAACGGCUAACUACGUGCCAGCAGCCGCGGUAAUAC
This 405-nucleotide ribosomal RNA is filed under the name uncultured bacterium. Its description in RNAcentral is "partial 16S ribosomal RNA". It matches the Rfam family "Bacterial small subunit ribosomal RNA", at positions 30 to 526 of the family's 1533-position model. The record is from RNAcentral.